AACAGGAUUAGAUACCCUGGUAGUCCACGCCGUAAACGAUGUCGACCAGCCGUUGGGUGCCUAGCGCACUUUGUGGCGAAGUUAACGCGAUAAGUCGACCGCCUGGGGAGUACGGCCGCAAGGUUAAAACUCAAAUGAAUUGACGGGGGCCCGCACAAGCGGUGGAGCAUGUGGUUUAAUUCGAUGCAACGCGAAGAACCUUACCUACUCUUGACAUCCUGCGAAUUUGGUAGAGAUACCUUAGUGCCUUCGGGAACGCAGAGACAGGUGCUGCAUGGCUGUCGUCAGCUCGUGUUGUGAAAUGUUGGGUUAAGUCCCGUAACGAGCGCAACCCUUGUCCUUAUUUGCCAGCGCGUAAUGGCGGGAACUCUAAGGAGACUGCCGGUGACAAACCGGAGGAAGGUGGGGACGACGUCAAGUCAUCAUGGCCCUUACGAGUAGGGCUACACACGUGCUACAAUGGUCGGUACAAAGGGUUGCCAACUCGCGAGAGUGAGCCAAUCCCGAAAAGCCGAUCUCAGUCCGGAUCGGAGUCUGCAACUCGACUCCGUGAAGUCGGAAUCGCUAGUAAUCGUGGAUCAGAAUGCCACGGUGAAUACGUUCCCGGGCCUUGUACACACCGCCCGUCACACCAUGGGAGUGGACUGCACCAGAAGUGGUUAGCCUAACGCAAGAGGGCGAUCACCACGGUGUGGUUCAUGACUGGGGUGAAGUCGUAACAAGGUAACC
Molecule: ribosomal RNA, 729 nt
Filed under: uncultured bacterium
Lineage: Bacteria
Description: bacterial SSU rRNA
Rfam family: Bacterial small subunit ribosomal RNA
Source: RNAcentral